RNAcentral lists this ribosomal RNA (439 nucleotides) under uncultured bacterium. RNAcentral describes it as "bacterial SSU rRNA". It matches the Rfam family "Bacterial small subunit ribosomal RNA", at positions 354 to 796 of the family's 1533-position model. The record is from RNAcentral.
GUGGGGAAUUUUGGACAAUGGAGGAAACUCUGAUCCAGCAAUACCGCGUGAGUGAAGAAGGCCUUCGGGUUGUAAAGCUCUUUUGUUGAAGAAAAAAUCUCGGUAACGAGGAUGAUGGUAUUCAAAGAAAAAGCACCGGCUAACUACGUGCCAGCAGCCGCGGUAAUACGUAGGGUGCGAGCGUUAAUCGGAAUAACUGGGCGUAAAGGGUGAGUAGGCGGUUUAGUAAGAUAGUUGUGAAAUUCCCGCGCUUAACGUGGGGACUGCGGCUAUGACUGCUAAACUAGAAUAGAACAGAGGAAAGUGGAAUUCCACGUGUAGCAGUGAAAUGCGUAGAGAUGUGGAGGAACACCAAUGGCGAAGGCAGCUUUCUGGGUUACUAUUGACGCUCAGUCACGAAAGCGUGGGGAGCAAACAGGAUUAGAAACCCUGGUAGUCC